Molecule: non-coding RNA, 3315 nt
Organism: Ictidomys tridecemlineatus (thirteen-lined ground squirrel)
Lineage: Eukaryota; Metazoa; Chordata; Mammalia; Rodentia; Sciuridae
Source: RefSeq, a predicted model, not a curated record
AGAGACCUGAUUUCUGACCCUCUCGACUCUCAGUGUUUCAUAUUGGUUGAUCCCCACAACCCGGGCUCAUCUUUCAGCCUCUCUUUUUUGGCUUAGGUUUUACCGCCGCUAUCUCCAUCCACCCUCUCUCUGUCCUUAGCUUGCAGUUCAGAUUGCCCCAUAGCCCUGCACUCUGUCCAGGCUCAUACCACUUCCAGACUUCUCUUCCCGCUUGACUUCUGCCUGAUGUGUCCUUCUCAAUCUGAUUGCUUCUCUCUCCUUGACCCCAAGAUCAAGUUUCUUGAACUUCAGGUUUCAAGUCUUGACUUACAUUCUCUGAGACUUGUUUUUACAUUAGGAAUCCCAGGUGUGAGGGGUUUCUAGGACUGGUUCCCAGAUAGUCUCUUUGAUCUUCCUUGUAGGUCGUCAAAGCUUCACCUUUCUCCAAAGGCAGAUGUGAAGAGUUUGAUCUCUUACGUUGUGACCAAGACAAAAGCGAUUAAUGGGAAAUACCAUCGUUUCUUGAAUCGUCAUUUCCCCCGCUUCUAUAUCCUGUACACAACCUUCAUGAAAGGAUUUCAGAUGUUAUGGGCUGAUGCCAAAAAGGCUAGAAGAAUAAAGACAAAUAUGUGGAAGCACAAUAUAAAGUUUCAUCAACUUUCAUACCGGGAGAUGGAGCAUUUGAGACAGUUCCGCCGAGACAUUGCCAAGUGUCUUUUCCUAGGUAUCAUUUCCAUUCCACCCUUUGCCAACUACCUGGUCUUCUUGCUAAUGUACCUAUUUCCAAGGCAACUACUGAUUAAAUAUUUCUGGACCCCAAAACAACAAACUGAUUUCUUAGAUAUCUAUCAUGGUCUCCGGAAGCAGUCCCACUCAGAAAUCCUUAGUAAUUUAGAGAGGGUCAUUCCUCUCAUUUCUGAUCCAGGACUUCGGUGGCAUUUGACAGACCUGUGCACUAAGAUACAGAAUGGUACCCACCCAGCUGUACAUGAAAUCCUGGCUCUCAGAGAGUGUUUCUGUAACCAUCCUCUGGGCAUGAACCAGCUCCAGACUUUGCAGAUGAAAGCCUUGAGCCGGGCCAUGCUUCUCACACCUCACCUGCCUCCUCCCUUUUUGAGGCAUCGUUUGAAGACUCAUACCACUGUUAUUCACCAGCUGGACAGGGCUUUGGCAAAGCUGGGGAUUGGCCAGUUGACUGCUCAGGAAGUAAAAUCGGCUUGUUAUCUUCGUGGCCUGAAUUCUACUCAUAUUGCAGAAGACAGGUGUCGAACUUGGCUGGGAGAAUGGCUACAAAUUUCCUGCAGCUUGAAAGAAGCUGAGCUGUCCCUCUUGCUGCACAACGUGGUCCUGCUUUCCACCAACUACCUUGGGACAAGGCGCUGAGAGAACUGUGGAGUGGAUGGCAAUGUCCUGCAGUCGCGUAGCAUAGCAGUGUGGGACCAAACAGCACUUGUCAGCAGAGUCUGUGCACUCCUCAGAUCCUUCUGACAGAAGUUUUAAAGGAACUGAUUUUAAGUUGAUCUUUGGGUGGAUAUUUUAAGGUGGUAACCAGGAAAAGAGAAAAUGGGAAUACAGUCAGCGUGAAGGUCUAACAAGGCAGAAGCAAAGCCUGCUUCAGUUGAAGAGGUGCGUAAGAGCACCUGAGGCAAGAUAGGCUGAAGAGAACAUUCUACAUUUCUAUCACAAAGUGUUUCUUUUGUUAACCUUAAUUCCUAACUGACCUAAUUAGUUUCAUAGAAAAAGAUGCUUCUCCAGCUUUGUAUAACAAGUAACUAAAUUGUGGCUGGCCAAGAUAAAGAAUAACACACCAUUCUUUUGAAUAUUUCUUUAAUAUUACAUUUAAAUAUUCUCUUUAAAUACAGCAUUAUCACAAUGUAAAGAACCUAAAGAGGGAAAAUUGUUUUCAGAGAACCAGACGAGCUUUGGAUUCACAUUGAAAAUACUACCUGUAUACAGUAUGUGAGAAAGGAAACUGGAAAAUAAGAAUUAUGUUAAUAAGAAUCAUUUUUUUUUUUAAUCAAGGCCAAGACUAAGUGGGAUUGAAGCAAUCUGCUUCUAUGAUCAGAGGCCUAGCUCUCCUAGCAACCAUGAGCUUUAAUUUUGUCCAACUCGGGUAGCACCAGAAGUGAGAUGGACUAGGCUGUAGAAAAGGCCCUUUGCUUGACAACAGUUAAUGCUAAAUGUUAAUAUUUAGCAUUCAGAAGUUUGGGGUCAGCAUGAAUCAGAAUUGUAGAGUUAAUGAAGGGAUGGACUUAGAUUAAGAAACUAGAGUUUUGUAGAAAUAUCAUGUAUCUUACCUUAUGGAUUGGCAAUGAGUUUAAUAAUAACAAAUUUAAAUUCAUUUGAUCCCAAAGGCUAAUGUAUUUCUUAGCAAGCUGUUGGAAUCCACUUCCUAAAUUAAGUGGGAGGCUUCCUACAGAGGGAGUGUAUAGAGCUCUCCCUCUCCUAACAAACUUGAGAAAAUAUUUUUUUCCAUAGAACUAAAAUCCCAAGUAAGCUUCAGUCUUAUGUUCCAUGGUUCCAGUCUAAGGUGGGGGAGUGCAGCUCAGUUUGGAAAAGCAUCUAUUUCAUAUAGAUUGAAGGUACUUAAGACUCAAUUAUUUUGUGAGGCUGGGUGAUGGGGAGAGAUAUGGACCUAUGUAACUUAAGACCUUCCCUCCAAACAUAAAACCAAGCAAAAACAGGAAUGAACAGGAAAGGCGGAAUGGGUUAAAAUAUUUAUCUGUAUUAAAUAAAUACAAGGCCCUCAGGCUUAGAUUUUAUAAGUGAAAUGCUGCUGCCACAUACCUGAAGGCUGCUUUAACGUACCAGGGCCUGGCUAUCCCCCAAGAAAAGGCUUUAUGAGCAAGAUAAGUAAGAAUAAUUAUCUCUUCCACUCUCCCUACCCACCAGAAGUGUUUUUUAACUGGUUAAUAAAUCAUACCAGAUGUGAAGUAUGGUGUUAAAGAUGCUAAAGAAUAGUGUUUUGCUCCCUACCAUUUUCAUUUUAAAACAGAGGCAAAGGUCACUUUGCCUAUAAAAUAAAUCAGUGUUGUUCAUGGAGCAGAUCUUGAUUGAAACAUAAACAUAAAAGGAACAGGAACCAUUGACAGAGGUAAGAACUGAAUUUGAGUCCCAUUUUAUACAUUUCAAAGGUUACAAUCAGAUCUUAAUCCUUUGGAACCUGGAAAUUCUACGUGGCAUCUAAGAAUUGGUAGAUUCCAAUUUUAUAUCUCAUCAAGCAGCAAUAAACAUUUGCAAUUCUUGGGGUUGAACUGGAGUAGUAUAAGAACUGUGUAACCCUGUAUAUCAAAGAAGGACCAUGAGUGUGCAUACACAAAAAAAGAACAAAAACUA